CUCUCGCCGGCGACCGGCGCACGGGUGAGUAACACGUAUGCAACCUGCCCCUGUCAGGGGGACAACCCGCCGAAAGGCGGGCUAAACCCGCGUACAUGCCACCGGGGCAUCCCGGAGGCAGGAAAGGCUUCGGCCGGACAGGGAUGGGCAUGCGGCGCAUUAGGCAGUAGGCGGGGUAACGGCCCACCUAACCGACGAUGCGUAGGGGUUCUGAGAGGAAGGUCCCCCACACUGGUACUGAGACACGGACCAGACUCCUACGGGAGGCAGCAG
RNAcentral lists this ribosomal RNA (273 nucleotides) under uncultured bacterium. RNAcentral describes it as "partial 16S ribosomal RNA". It matches the Rfam family "Bacterial small subunit ribosomal RNA", at positions 82 to 354 of the family's 1533-position model. The record is from RNAcentral.